RNAcentral lists this ribosomal RNA (999 nucleotides) under Triticum aestivum (bread wheat). RNAcentral's name for it is "partial small subunit ribosomal RNA". Lineage: Eukaryota; Viridiplantae; Streptophyta; Magnoliopsida; Poales; Poaceae. The record is from RNAcentral.
AUGAUAUGUUUUAAUUGUGGUGGUCCGGGGCACUAUGUGGGUAAUUGUGUUAGGCCUAAAGCUUGUUUUAUCUACCAACAAUCCCAUAAUGUCAACAAUUGCUUUGCUUGGUCUAGGCUUCAUCCUACUGCAGCUUUCUUUGGUAGUGGUGCUAGUGGGCUGGGCUUUUAUCAUGUUGAGGUUCCUGUGGCAAAUGAAUCCAAAUGGAUCAAUUUUCAAAACUGUGGUGUGGUUAACAUUACCAAAGGUGAAGUGGACAAAGAUAAGUUGGUGAGUCUUCUGCCUGCUACAUUUUGUAAAACCAGAGCUUGGCCGUGGCAGAUUAGAGAGCUAUCCAAUAAAGAGUUUCUGGUCAGGUUCCCUCCAUCGAAGAAAGUAGAGGACUUAAUUGAACUUCAUGGUUUCAGUUUACCUCAGGAUGUAUCUGUCAAAAUGACUGAAUGGGCUAGGUCUUGUGACCCAUUUGGAGAACUAAUUGAGGCAUGGGUGCUGAUUGAAGGGAUUCCUCCUAAGUGGUGCUCUUGGAAAGUGUUUGCACAAAUUACAUCUAUGUUUGGGGUGCUCACUGAUGUUGAUUGGAAUGGCAUGUUUAGAACAUUCUUUGAAAAUGUGAGGAUUAAGAUUGCUUGCACAGACCCUAGUAAAAUUCCAUUCGAGAGAUUGAUUGAGAUGAAGAAGAAGCUAUUCCUGCUUGGUUUCACUGUAGAAGGCUUUGAGCAGGUGGGAGGCAAAGGUUCUGUGGUGGAAAUUGAAGAUGAGAAUGAGGAUGACAACUUUGAGGAAGACAAUGGUAACCAGAAACAACAUGAUCUACCCAAGAAUGAUGAGGAUGAUGAUCUCAUUGAUGAUGACACUGCCAUUGAUGAGCUUGAUAAAGCAAACCUCACAUCUAGGGGUGUCAAGAGUUCUUCUGCUAGGAAAAAAACCUAUAACACACUGCCUGAUUGCCAGGGGAUGAUAAGGAAAACUUCAUUCUGGAGUGCAUUUCAAGCAGGAUGA